CCUUUUUGAAACCUGUUGGCAGUAGGUUUGUACUUGUAGGAAGGGUUCUUCUUGAAUCUCAUGUUUCCAAAUUUCUUGGCAAACAGUGAUAGAGAUUGAUCUUCUAACUGUUCUAGCUCUUCCAUUGUAUAUAACUCUUCAUCACCACUGGAAGAAGCAGUUUGACCCAUCUCUAGUAUAACAAAUUCCUGAGUGGUCUUAGAAAGAACAACAACAUCCUUCUUUUCUUCCGGUACAAGUGACUCAACAACUAGAGCUCUCGAAUGGUUCAGUGUUUUACCCCAGCCAUAUCUCUGUUUACUCUGAACUUGCUCCAGUUCAUAAGUUUUCAAAACUCCGUAGAGUCUUUCCAGAGAAAUCUCAUUCAGAUCUCUACUUUCCCUGAUAGCAGUGAUUCUGUGUUCCAGAUGUUCGGGAAGGGUUAAAAGAAACUUCAUGUUGACCUCUUUCUUGUCGUAGUAUUUCCCAUUCAGAUUCAAGUUAUUAAUCAGAUUAUUGAGUCUGAUAAAUAAUUCUGAAAUCCCUUCUCCGGGAUUGGAACCAAACUGUUCAUACUGAGCCAUCGGUAUCUCUUUCUUGUUUUCCCUAACUUCUUCUGAGCCUUCGUUUAUGAUUUCUAGAGUGUCCCAGAUUUGCUUCGCGUUCGUACAAUUUACAACAGCAUUGUACAUGACCGGAUCUAGGGAUUCAAUUAAGAUCAGUUGAAGAGCAUCAUCUAGGUUCAUCUGUUCACUCUCUUCAUCUGUAUACUCAGAAAGUUCUUUCGGAAUUGUCUGAUGAGGUAUUAACACACCAUCUUCUUCGUGUGCUAAUAUGACGUUCAUCGGAGUAGAAACACCCUUGUUCAGAAUCCCGAUGUAUUUUCUGUUCGCAGUGCGGAGGAAUAGUAUCAUGUGCCUCUUCCAUAGGCCAAAGUGUUCUUUGCUGAACGGUGGGAUUUUAGUGCUACUAAUCUUUUGUGUACUCAUGUUUAAGGAUUUGAAGUGAAUAGUGUUUGGAUGAGAUUUGGAUUUUGAAAGAAAAAUAUUUUAAAUCAAAAUUAAUUAAUUUUUUUUUUAAAAAAAUAAUUAAUUCGAAAAAAAAUAUUUGGAUUUAAAGUGAAUAGUGUUUGUAUGAGAUUUGGAUUUUUGAAAGAAAAAUAUUUUAAAUCAAAAUUAAUUUUUGGAAUAAAAAUUAAUUCAAAAAAAAAUAUUUGGAUUUCUGAAAGAAAAAUAUUUUAAAUGGUAUCAACCGCUCUGAUGCCAAUUGUUAGGUCCUGGAACGAUUGUAGAAGGGGGGUUGAACACAAUCGUCACUUAAAAAUAAUCGCGGCGGAAUAAUUUGAUUGAAGUUUAACUUGUUAAUCAGAUAUUAAUUAAUAUAACAAUGUGAAAGUCGUUAUAUAAUUAAUAUGGUUCGUUUUAAUGUUCGCUAGUUCGUAGAAUAAAUUUGACAAGAAGUAUUCUAACUUAGCGGUAUAAAACAACCGAGUGAUCAAAGCACAGUAAACUGUGGAUUUAACGAAUAGCAAGUUUAGCACAACUUGAAAGCUUACAAUGACUUUGAACAAGAACAAAUGAAGGGGGAAGGCCAUAUUUAUAGGCAAAUCCCAUGAACAAGCAAGACAGUUAAAGACAAGACAAAGCAAAGCUAGCUAAGACAAUUUUACAAGGGGCAAGACAAACAGAAUGGUUGUCUAUAGCUUAGCAAGACAUUUCAGGCAAGGUAAGACAAUCAUAUGGGAAGGAAAGACAAUCUAAGCCAAGGUAAGACAAUCCUUAUGGAAGGAAAGACAAUCUAAGCCAAGGUAAGACAAUCCUUAUGGAAGGAAAGACAAUCUAAGCCAAGGUAAGACAAUCCUUAUGGAAGAAAGACAAUUUAAGCCAAGGUAAGACAAUCCUUAUGGAAGGAAAGACAAUCUUAGCCAAGGUAAGACAAUUUCAAUCCAAGGUAAGACAAACAAUUGGCUUGUCUUGGAAGCUAAAGAUUAGACAAUCUUUGGGAAGGUAAGACAAUCAAUUGGCUUGUCUUGGAAGCUAAAGAUUAGACAAUCUUUGGGAAGGUAAGACAAUCAAUUGGAUUGACUUGGAGUUCUAAAUGUAUAUAACAAUUCAUUUUCUUUUAUAUAAUUAGCCAAUUAAUAUUCACUUCAUUAUAUUAAAUGCAUAAAUUCAUAAAUUAAAUUAAUUCGAGAUAGAAUCAAUUUAAUAUAUAAAUUACACAUCCAAUAUAAUUAUUUUGAGAAGUGAAAUAUUUAAUUAGAUAAUCAUAUUAACCCAUUUCCUUCUGCAGUAGAGUCUUCAGUCUUCUUUAAACAAUUCCGAUCUUUGUCUUGAUUGAACGACUACUUUCAUUUGACACGGAAUAUUUAAUCUGAUGAGCUGAUACACAAAUGUACUGUCUGGUUCAUCUGUAACUAGCUGAAUUAAAUAUUCUUUGUCAAUUAAACAAUUAAGCUGUGGCUUGUUCGUCGAUUCUUCGUCUUCGAGUUCUUCUUCAUUUGUAGACAUAAUAUGGAAUCUUCUGAAUAAAUAAAGUAUUUAAACUUUAUACCUACUGAUCUUCUGGACGUGCCACAAAAUAUUAUUUUUGCACUGAGGCUUGAACAUAUUAAUGAACUUCUCCCAGUGGUUCAUAGCAGCAUCCUGAAAUUCUUCUGACAUAAAAUCUUCAAUAAAUCAUUUGACGUUCUUCGUACGGAUUCCGAUUAACAGCACUUGCUAUAUACUUGCUUUCUUAUCAGAGUUGAGUUGAUACCUCUUAAUUACAAAUAGGCUUAACAUAUACCUUUCAGAGACCUUUGCUCCUAUUGCAAGAUUAGAAGCAAUCCGAAUCUUUCUGGCCUAUGCUGCUCACAAGAAAUUCAAAGUCUUUUAGAUGGAUGUGAAGAGUGCAUUUCUCAAUGGGGAGCUGGAGGAAGAAGUGUAUGUUGAACAAACUCCAGGUUUUGUAGACUCCAAAUUUCCAGAUUAUGUCUACAGACUUGACAAGGCACUCUAUGGACUAAAGCAAGCUCCAAGAGCAUGGUAUGAAACUCUGGCUCAAUUUCUUUUAGAAAAUGGAUUCAUCAGAGGUACAAUUGACAAAACUCUAUUUUAUCUCAACCAUGGUAAAGACCUGCUUUUAGUUCAAGUUUAUGUGGAUGAUAUCAUUUUUGGCUCUACUACUUCUAAACUCUGUGAAAGAUUUUCAAAGCUUAUGCAGUCUAGAUAUCAGAUGAGCAUGAUGGGAGAGAUGAAUUAUUUUCUGGGACUUCAAGUCAAACAGACUGAUGAGGAUAUCUUCAUAAAUCAGUCUAAAUAUACCAGAAACCUGCUAAAGAGAUUUGGCAUGCAGGACAGUUCAGCUGCCACCACUCCCAUGGCAACAGCCACUAAGUUAGAUAAAGACACUGGAGCAUCAGUGGAUAUUACUAACUACAGAGGCAUGAUAGGCUCACUUCUAUAUCUGACAGCAAGUAGACCUGAUAUCAUGUUUGCUACCUGUCUCUGUGCAAGAUUUCAGGCUGACCCAAGAGAACCACAUUCAGUAGCAGUCAAAAGAAUUUUUCAAAUACCUCAAGGGUACAAUUGAGAUGGGACUCUGGUACCUUAGAGAAUCAGACUUUACACUAAUUGGCUACUCAGAUGCAGAUUUUGCAGGAUGCAAAAUUGACAGGAAAAGCACCAGUGGAAGCUGCCAAUUUCUUGGAGGCAAAAAUCUAUCUCCACAUCCACUGCAGAAGCAGAGUAUAUUGCUGCAGGAAGCUGUUGUGCUCAGAUUUUAUGGAUGAAAAAUCAACUACUGGAUUAUGGGUUAACACUGACUCAAAUUCCUAUUUAUUGUGAUAACCAAAGUGUUAUUGCCAUGACAGGAAAUCCAGUACAUCACUCUAUGACCAAGCACAUCAGCAUCAGAUAUCACUUCAUCAGAGAACAUGUAAUGGAAGGGACAGUAGAGUUACAUUUUGUUCCUACAGAUCAGCAAUUGGCAGAUAUCUUCACCAAACCCUUGGCUGAAGCAACAUUUACAAGACUUGUAAAUGAACUAGGGAUGAUCUCCGAUCCUCUCUAAACUCUGCUUAGCUAUCUAAACACAUAUCUAUACUAGUUAUCUGUUACUAGCAUGAUUUAUAAAUGCUUAUGUUAUUCUCUGACUAAAACUCUGAUGAUUAUACUCUGACUCGACAAACACUGAUUGCAAGAUUUUUCUCUGUUGAGUGACAUUCCUGUGAAGAAAUUGUUGCAAAUUACUGAAUUCUAGUCAUAAAUAGCUCUAUAGUCUGAUAUUUGUGAAAUUACUGCCUUACUUCUUAGAUCUUAGAUAUGCAAUCAGUGUAGAAUUUUCUUUAUUCCCUUUAUGAGCACAGAGUCAUUAAACCUUAAGUCUGGAUUAGUCGAACAUGUGCCUUCUCUAUUCAGAAAAGAAAAGAAAUUCAAAGAAAACAGCAAAAACCUACUCAGGUACUCUUUUGAGAUCAUAGACAUUUUGUGUUAGGAACGACCCAAGUGCAUUGCUGGUAUUAAGUAAAAUGCAUCAGAAAAGCAAUAUUUUUCUUGGGGACUUUUCACAUUCUCUGAUUACUGGAGAAAUACUCUGAGCAAAAGAAAAUUGAUCUGAUGAUGGUUAUAACUCACUUACCCUGAGAAGUUUCCAUUCUAAAGAUUAUCUGUGACUCAAUAAAGAGAAGCUUAUGUAAACUCUGAUCCAUACCAUAGUAGACUCUGCUGCCUACGAAGUGUUUAAAUAAUUUUCUGACAAUCUGGUUCUUUCUAAAAAUCUUGAAAAUUUUGUCAAUCUUUGUGACAAACCUAGAUUCAUGAAUUCGCACACUUUACACUCCACGUCUGUGAUUAACAAAUUUUUUGCCUUCGAGUGAUUUUUGAUUAAAUUCAAAAAUAUAUUUGUAAACUCUGAGGACAAAUAUUUGUCUUAUAUCAAGACUCUUGAUAUGCCAUCUCUCAUCAGAUAAAUUUUGUGUACAUAUCUUGUCUUUGUCGUAUAUUCUGAUAUUUACUUAAAUUCUGGCUCAAGUCAAUCUCUGAUUGACUUCGGAAUUUAUUAAAUGAAUAUUUGUCUCAGUAAACAUCAGAUAAAAAUUUCUAACGGUACAAAAAUCUGUUUGCAUUCUUUAGUGGAGUAAAACACGGGUGAUUAUUGUGUUUUAUCGGUAAUAGUUGUUUUACACAAGUACACACGCAACAGUGAUAAUUACCUCUCCACUAUCAUUUUUUAUGCCGUUAAGGGAGUGCCACGUGUCCCACUAACACUUUUCUUUUCAGCAGUUCGCGUGCAUACAUAUAUAUACAGAGUAAAAAGAUUUUCUUUUUCACUUUUUACACACAUUUUUCACUGUUAUCAAUUUCUAUCUCUUCCCUAUUUUCUCUUGCACAUUUCAUCAAACACCUUACCUAUAUCUCACGAUCUUCAAAUUUUUCAGCAAAAUGACCACCACAGCCUUCGAUUCUAAUGGAGCAAAGUUUGUCACCAACAAUUAUGCUGCUAUUCUCAACAAUGAUGAAGCCCCAACGGGUUUUCAUCUGAUUCAAGAUUUUAUGGCACACAGUGACCUAAUGUAUGCCUUCACUCAACCUAAGUCUAUCUCACCGGCACAAGUACUCACAUUCUGGCGAACGGCCAACUAUAAUGAUGGGGGUGAUCAUGGUUCACCUUCACUUACUUGUCAGUACAAUGGUCAGGAGUACUUCGUAUCUCCAGCCACAGUCAGGAAGGCUCUUCAUCUUCCUGACUCCAACAAGUUUGACUCCUCAGUUUCAACUUAAACUCUGAGGGAUAUGAUGACCUUCUUUGAGUACUCAGGCAACACUGAUCAUAUGGGGGAUCUCCUAUUUCUUCUAUGACUGCAUUACAAGGGCUUUUGGCAACAAAUGCAGCAAUUUUGAUGCUAUUCCUCUACUCAGUCAGCAAAUCGGGUACUCUCUUAUCCAUAAUCUCAAAUUUGAUAUUGCUACACCACUGUUGAGACUGAUUGGUGAGAGAAGAACAGAGAAUAGGAAUGUCAUAUACCAUGCAAGAUUCUGUCAAUUAAUAUUCUCUUAUUGUUUCCCUGAUUUGCCAUUACCUGAAACUGACAUUAAGCCUCCUUUUAAACUCACCAAGCGUGCUUUCACUGACUUGAUCAAAAAGGAUAGCAAAAAGUUGGCCCCACCUGUAUUUGCUAUUCCUGUCACAGUACAGGAUAAAUUGAAGCUUGCACUGCCAGAUAAUUACAACCCUCUAUUCUCUGAUGAGAAUCAACCUCAGUCCUCCACUGCUCAGAAACAGGUUGCACCAACCUCUGGUCCUUCCCAACAAGGGCCAGUUGUAAAAUCUGACCAUCACUCUCCUAAGAGUAUUCUUAGAUCCUCUAAGACCUCACCACAACCUUCCCCUUCACCACAGCCUAGAAGAAAGAGGAGGUUUCUUCAGCCUCCAUUUGAUUCUGAUGAUGCAGAUACACCUCCUCCUCCAUCACCUCCACCAGUCAAACAGCCCAGGAAGAAGGUCAAGGCCACAAAUAUCACUGAUUUGACUCUUGAUCCUCCGUCUCAAUCAGCAGAUAGUCUCCUGGCCUUGGUUCCCUUCUCUGAUCAACCACAGAUUACAGAUCCUGUAUUAGUUGAACCACUAUCUGCCAUGCCUCUUGCUGAACCAACAACUGCAGCUAACAUUCUCAUGUCAGAUGAUUUUCAUGCAGCAACUCCAGUUGUCAGUCCAACUGCAUCUACUUCACACAUACAUCAGGAUUCUCUGACUUCAAUUAAAGAUCAUGAUGCAGCUCCUGUUCAGGAGAUAUCUUGUGCUGUAAAUUCUGAUGCAGCCACAGAAGCUCUGCCUUCCAAACUCUGAGCCUUUCAGCAGUUGAUGAUGAUGAGGCUGAGGAGGUAACUUCUGUUCAGCUUUCAGUUCAAGCACCAUGCACUGAAUCUUCUCUUCCUACAGCACAAACACAACCUCCUAAAACCUCUGCCAGAGCUAAAGUCUGUCAAGUUGCAUAUCAUCAUGGUAUGUGCAGAGAUGUGCCUCCAUCUCUUAAAGCCAGGGUUGCUGGUAUUGAAGCUACUCAGCACUCUAUGCUCAAUACAUUAUCUGAGCUGAGUUCUUCUGUUGCAUAGAUGGUUGCUUUUCUUACCUCUGUUGAUGUCAAAACGGGGGAGAAAAUGCCAAAAGACAAAUGCUCUGAUGAUAAAAAUGUGUCAAAGAAGAAGCCAGAUGAUGAUAAGGAUGGAAAGGGAGCUGGAAAAUCUGAUAAACGGAAACAGAUUGUUCUGCAAAUCAGAGAUAAAGAGAAAACUGCUAAUGCUGAACGGAGUAGGAGAAAUAAGGAUGGAAACUCUGAAGCAGUCAGAAAAUCAAAGUCAAUCAAGCCAAUCUCAAAGGAACUGACUAUAAUUGAUCCUGUGAUGCCAGCAAUUGAACAGCAAGGAGAAAAUCUGAUCUCUGAAUCAGAUAAAUUAAUUGAAGUUGGAGAUCCAGAAUCUUAGAAAUUUUGUCAAACUCUGAAGUUUAGAUGAAAAGAAACUACUCUGUUUUACAAAUCUCCAUCUCUUCAAGCUAUUGAUGAGGCUGUUGCCAAGAAAAUUUUUGUAAGGGAGAAUCCAGGAGUAUAUAUUAAAGCUAUCAGACUUGAAGAAGAAAGAUUAGCUGCUGAGAAGAUGAAGAUCAGCAAAUCAAAGUCUGAUAUGCAGAAGCAAAUCACUGAUCCUUCACAGAAACAGUCAAGACCAAGAGAAAAAGGGAUAGUGAUUAGUGAGAUAAAGUACUCUGAUAUCAACAGACCCAGAACCAGGUCUCAAGCAAAGUCUGAGACUGAUUCCAAGGACAAGGGAAAACAACCUGUUGAUGGUGUUCCUGUAUUAAAGAAGACUUCAAUCAUCAAAAUUGCAUCAGAUGUUCCCUUUGAGAGAUUGACUCAGAUGAGCAAAGAUAUUAGAGUCAUUACUGAUGUAUCUGCAAAUGAUGAAGAAGAAGAAAUUGGGCUGAUAAGAAAGAAAAAUACUGGAAUGACAACAUCUGAUCUGAAGUUAACCUCUGACAUUUCUCAAGUUAAAAUUCAAGAAACAAAGGCAAAAUCUGAUCAGUCAGAGUCUAUGAAGAGAAGAGCCUCAUUGCUGAAAUCAAGCUCUGAUAAAACACAAGAUCAGAACAAAAAGAAAAGUUUAUUUGGAAGUCUUGGAACUAGUCUGUAUACAGAAAGCUCAAUGCUAACCAGACUUAGACUUCAAGGAACCAGAGGCAAGGAAGCCUAUGACACAACUGGAUUGGGUCAUUGGAAAGAGAAAUUAGAAACAAGCUCAACAACUACCUUCAGAGAUCCAUAUCCUCUGACUGAUAAAAUUGGAGAAGUUGUCACUCAGAAGGAUCUUGAUAAGGUAGAGUCAGUACAAAUUCUGAUAGACACUCAUGAUGGUACAAGUGACAAAGAGAAGAUAGCAAUCUUUCUCAACAAUGGCAGAGUCUACGGAAUAUCAGAAGCUGAUUUGUUGUUGAAAUCUCUAAGGGAGCUUGAGCAUAUUCACUAUAUGCUUGAGGGAAAGAAUGAAGUAACCCAGAGAUGGUCUGAUCUAAUGAAAAGGACUAUUAUUGAAAAAAGAAUAUUAUGGAAUAAAGCCUGAUGAAGAGUACAUUUCCAAGAUAUCUCAAGAUGAUGGUUCUGAAAUUGAAAUGCAGAAGAACAGCUCUGUCAUGGAGACAUUAGCUGGAACCAGAAUUUUGAGGUACAACAAUGAUGCAGACAGAUAUAGAGAACUCAGUAUUUUUUCGGAUUUAUAAUAAUUUUAUUCUAUUGAAAUGGCUCCAUGGAGUAAACCCCCGGAGGGUGUUUGGAAGAUCAAUGUAAGUGGUCACAGUGAUGCACAAUUGGGCUCAUCUGCCAUUGGAUGUCUCAUGAGGACUAGGUCAGGACAUUUUUCAUGUGGUUAUUAUGGGAUAGUAGAACAUGCACAUCCUGUUUAUGUAGAUUUGUUGGCAAUAUAUUAUGGUUUUAAGAUGGCUGACGAGGAGGACGCAAGAUAUAUUGAGGUUGAGUCUGAAUCAGCAGCAGCAGUUUAUCUGGUGAAUAACCCAAACCAAAACGUUGAAUAUGACGAUAUUCUUCUAAACAUACGUAGGAUGAAGGACAUGGCUACACCAUCCUGUGUACUUCGGUACGUAGAGAGAUCAUCAAACCUUAUGGCUAUAAGAAUGUCUGCUUAUGCCUUCGAGAAAAGAGCAUCUAUCACUCGUUUAAAUUCUUGCCCAUCAGAUUUCUUCCAAGAACUUGCAGCUGAUUGGUAUUUUUCCACCUAAAAAAAUUAUGAAUUGAUCUGUAUUCUCUUCUUUAUUGUUAUAAACAUUCUAAAUGUUUUUCAAUCUAUAUGGUCUUUUUGUUGACUCGUACAGUUUUUUUCAAAACGUGUUCUGAACGUAAAAAAUCUAUAUUAUGAAGCAUCCACAUAGAAAGUGUUGAAGAAAACCCACCGUUUUUCUGUAAUUUUUUUAAAGGCUCUAUAUGAACAUCAGGAGGAAUAUCAUGAAGAAUACCUUAAUUUUAUUCUAGGAAAUAUUUAAAUUGUUAACUACGAAAUUAAACUAUUGAAAACUGAAAUAUCAUACACUUGAUACUGUUUUUCAUAUUAGAUUAAAAAAACAUUAAUUAAAAAAACAUUAAUUUAAAAAAUAUGUGAUCGAACUUGGAUGAAACGGGUCAAUUAUUCAACAAAAAACACUUCCAGGAAUACACUUAAAAUUAAAAGAAACAUUCAAAGGUUUUAUGGUAACAAUUUUUCUCUCCAAUAUUUCUCGAUCAUUGACAUAAAUAUCAAAAAAAAACCUGUUGACUUUAACCAUCCAGUAUUUAUUUUUAAUUUUUUUUACAAAAUUACAGAGCACGUACCAAUUUGAAAAACCGUGGUAUGUCACAUAUACCUUUUAUUAAAUAUUUUGUAGAAAGUUUAAACUUAAAUUUUAAUAAUAUGAAAUCAAGUUUUGUAAUAGUUAAUUUACAUUUCUCGAAUCAACUUCAUAAAAAAAUUGAAAUUCUCAGAGUUUCAAGUGUAUUGAAUCCUCUGAGUUAAUUUUUUUUUAAUUAUUGUACUAGCUAUAUAAAACAAAUCGAUUUUAUGAACCAGAAAGAGUACAUUGAAUAUAAAUCAAAUGAUCCGAUGAUAGUUAACAAAUAAUACAUGAAUCUAUUAAAUGUAAACUUAAUCUUAAGUCGUGUGUAAAGACCGAGGGUCCACCAAGGGAGACGUGACUGAAUUCCAAAAGACACUUGCUCUUUUUAGUAUAAAAACCCACUAAUUGCACUAUGCAACCGUAUUAAAAAACAAAGUUACAUCAAAAAAAUCCUUCCAAGAGUUCUAUUUAACAUCAUGUCUUCAGAUGCACAGAAGAUCAUUGCAGAUGCUGUCGAGGAGAACACAAGGAUGAAAGAAACCAUCAAACUCCUGGAGGAGGAUAACAAAAGGUUGAAAGAUGAGAUUAAGUUGCUUGAGAUACACCACUCAAACAAUGAAAGAAUGAUAGAUUUACUUAAGCGACACAAGGAAGAGCAACAGGCCCUCGGUCUUCACAUGAUAGAUCCAACUAAGUUUGAUCCACCACAAAUCGGUAAGAAGAGAAAGUUGGAACAAGGUGAAGGAAGCAAUGUUCCUAAAAGAUGAAGGAGAACAGAAGUAAGAAUAGAUUAAGUAAUUAAUUUGUAUGUUCUCGUUAUUGUGCAUCUUUUGAUCUUCCGAAAAUAUGAAAUAUAAAAAAUGCUUGAACAACUCAAUUUUAAUUCUGUCGUGGUUUCUGUGUUCAAUUUCCAUUUUGUCUUGGUUUUCAAUUUUGACUUGGUUUGUUAAUGGCCUAAAAUUUUUAUCCUAUAAAUAAAAACACCAUGCCGCACACAUCUAACGUAUUUAGUCAUUUUUGUGUUCCCCUAAGGGCCAAACUGGGAUUAUGAUGGCUAUGAGGAUAAACCAAUAAUCGAGUAUUUAACAUGUAUUUUAUUUGGUAACUUGUUGUCUACUUGGUAACACACGCGGCGAUAAUAAAAUCAAUGAAGAGUAAAAAAAAUUGAGUUUCAGAAAAUAAAAAAUUGAUUUGUUUACUUGGAUUUCAUAGGGUUAUCAUUUUUGAUGUAAAAAUGUUUUUAUCAUGAUGUUUUUAAUUUGAUCAAACUAUUCCAAAUAUGGAAUUUAUUAAUAACGACCCUAAAUAUUAAUUUUAAGCGAACCUCUUUUUAUUUUUUGAGAAUCGUUAAGAAGUUCCAGUUGCAUGGAAAAUUAAAAAUUCUCCUCUAGGACAAGAGUUACAUAGGGAUGGUCCCAUAAUGUGUUCACGCAAAAUUUAAAACGACUAAAGAGAUUUUAAUUUAGCUAGUAAAACUUCAUUAAUUAAGCUAAAAAACUAAACUCGGUUAUCCGUUUCUAUUCAAAAUUAUUAAUUAAUAUAUAUAUUUUAUUUUAAAUGUGGACAGAUCCGAGAACUAUUAUAUUUCUCAAUUAAAAAUAUAGUUAACAACCUCAUAACUGAACUAUGUAAAAACAAAUAAAAGAAUUUACAAUUUAACAGAGAACAAAUAAAUAGCAUUAAAUGCUGUGUAAAACGAGUUUACCUAUAUUUAAUAUGAUGAAAAAUUGUAAAUACACGAAAGCUUGACGGGCUUGUGCGAUGAAAAGAACCGUGCUAACGUUUCCAAAAAUUUUGUAUAGUAACUUUAGAAAUAUUCUUAUUACUAAAUUUGGUUUCAGGAUGGUGAUUGGAUCAUUUAAUUGAAUCGUUUGACCAUAUGUUGGAACGAAUAGAGUAACACUUGUAAAAAUCGAACAUAAAUAAUUUAAAAGAACAUAAAAAAAAUUCCGAAUGUAUGUGUUGUAGACUUUAAAAAGGUUUUUUCUCUCGUGAACAUGAAACAGAGCAAGUGCUAGAUAAAUUUUAAUGAUCAUGAAAAUAAAAAUAAAUAUAUAGUAAUAUUAGAAUAAGCAACGUGUUAACCAAUUUUUCGAACAAACAAUAAAUAAAGAAUAUCAACUUUUUCUAGACUCAAUGAACUAAUUUUAUUGUUAAAAGUUUGUAAGACAUUAAUUCUUUUAAAAAUAUUUAAGUGAUCAUUAACAAUAUCGGACAAAAAAUCAUGUUGCCCAUGUAUUCGUCUUGGUUUUUCUAAUUAAAGAUUUAAUUUUUUUUAUGUUCUUGAAAUGCUCAAAAAAAUAUGAUAAACAAGAAAUCUGUACUGUGUUCAUGUCAAUGUUUAAGAUUUUUUUGAGUUUCACUAAGGUGUGGUCUAUGUUUCUGAAGAUAAAUGUAUUUUUUUGUAAUAAGAUUAGAUAAAAUAAUCAACUUUGUUCCAUAACAAAAAACAUGAAAAACAAAAACCCUAAAACGUGUUCUAGGUAUAAUAAUUAUUAAAUAAUAUAUAUAUUAAAAAAAAUGCCCAAAGAUAUUUUCCACUACGGAGUACAUUUUGAAUAAAGUUUAAAAAAGGCUAACAUUAAUUUAUUUGGAUUACAUUCAGAGUCCGUAACGUGUUCGUGUAAACCCUCUGAAGAUGUUUUUGGUUCGACCAAAGGUGAAUUCGUUGUUUUUGUAGAAAAAUAUAUUUUUUGAAAAUAAGAUUUGAUAAAAUGCCUGACUUUGUUCCAUAACAGAAUCAUAAAAAAAACAUAAAUUCUAUAACGUGUUCUCGUAAAAUUAUCAGGUUACUUAUCGAUGUAAAAGCAAUAAAUCUUUCUUUAGAAUUCUUGGUUUAUACAUUUAUUAUAAUUAAAUUCCAGUUUCGGCUAUUGGUUCGAGAGGAUUAGAGCAGUAAUAAUGUCUGAAAAGUAAUUAGACUGGGUAAUGCAACAUUGAAUCCCGCUUAACGAGGAUAACUCCUUUAUUGUCCAAAUUAAGCCUUAUUAUCGCUAACAUACUUAAGACAAGCCUACAUUUUUUAAUUCACAAAAACAUUAAUUGAAUGUUAUUACUCUUCGUUACCCAUUUAAUCUGUAACUUGUAAACCCCGACUGUAUUAUACUCGACUGCUCUCCUGGUAGAGAGAACUCAGAAAAAAUCAACUAAACGAACACAAUGAAAAGGAGGAUUCAUCUCGGAAAAGCUGUAAGCACAGGUGUGAUAGCAAAUUAGAAAAAAUUCAAACCUCUUUCAAUUAGUGUAGUCUCUUAAGUGUGGGUAAUUUGUUUGUACAUAAUUGAUCUCUUUUUUUGGUUUUCUUAGUUGAUCCAGAAAUUUUGAACGAUGAUCAAGGCGAUCAGUACUUUAGGUAUGUCAAGUUUUAUGAGCUAUUCUUGUUUUGCAUGUAGUCAAUUGACAAAAAAAUCCUAUCCAAUUGUUCCUUUAUCUUCUAAAAUCAAUCCAGACUUUUGUGGGCAACACUGGACAAGAAGAAGAGGAAAACUUGUUUAUAUGUAGAUCCUCUGGCAACAAAAUACUAUUAUCACAAUAAAAAGGGGAGAGAAAAGAUUUUUAGUCGACUGAUGAAGGACAACUUCUUUGAGAUGAAAUAUGUUUUUUUCCCAAUUUGUUUGUGGUAAGUCUCAAAAAAUUGUCAUUUCUAUGUAUUAUACAUUUUAAGUGAGUUUGUUGAUGAUAAUAUAAAGCAUUUGUUAUUAUUAUUCAAUAUAAUUUUUUAAAAAAUCCCAGGAAUCAUUGGGUGUUGAUAGUGUUGUGCAACCCAAGCAACAAUCUAAAAGGUGGGGCUUAACGCCCAACAAUGCUGCUGUUGGAUUCAUUAAAGGGUUCCGAAUCUGGAAAUGUUGAACAGUUUAUUCGAGGGAAUUUUUUGUUUUACCUCUUCCGCUUUGAUGUUAAACUGUACAUGCACGUAUAUUUACACUGCAAGAUUGAUUUUUUCCAUUUCAAAAUGUAGUUUGUUGAACUCUUUUUACAAAUACGCAAAAAGAAGUUGUUCAUUGAAGAACAUUAACUCGAUUCCUUUGUUGAUGCCUGAGGUAUUUUCAGAUUAGACGAAUUUUUUAUGUUCAUUCUAGGAUGUUUCUGUUUACUUUUUAUAUUUUUUAACAGGUGCCAAAACAAAAUGAUGACAAAAGUUGUGGUUUCUAUGUCUUGUUCUAUACAACUCAGUUCUUGAAGAUGUGUCCUUAUACGUUCAGCUUAAUGGCUGAUUAUCCCUCAUUUGUAUGUUCUAUACUUACCACGAUAUAUUUCAUAUGUGUUCUUUCAACUGAUGUCUUUCUUCGUUUUUAUUAGAUGAGUAAAACUUGGUUUACUGCUGAAGAUGUCGAAGAAUUGCGCAGUGGUUUGUUGAAUCUUUUUCGGAAAACAGGUAAGAAAGCAUACAACACCAGUGGUUCACAGAUUCAAAAGUUAUCUGACGAUGUAAAUCUUGUAAAACAGGUUCAGGAGCAUGGAGGAGCAAGUGUGAUAUGGAUAUGUUGAGAUUAAUAGAUACCUGUAAAUCUGCAGGUAAAAUCUUAUCAUUUAUAUAAAAACACAUAUAUAUCCCAGUAGUAAAUUCUGUUUUCAAAACUUUAAAAAUGUUCUUAGUUGCAUUUGUGGUUUAAUAUCAUAUAUAUAUUGUUAAACAACGUAGGUAACAGUGUUCAACGGAACAAUAGGAAGAAUCCCAAAAGGGGGCGUCCUGAUUGCAAAAAAGAUGAUGAUGUUACACUGGUAAGCCUAUAUAUUUUAGUUUCUGAUAUAAAGAAAAUUGAACAAAAUCAUUAUUCCUAAAUACACUAACCAUGCAGGUUUUCCUUGAGAAGAAGCGAAGAACUCGCGAGACAAAGGAACAAGAAACUGACGACAGAGAUGAUGACAAGAUCGUCUGUCAAGGGAAUAAAUUGUUCAUGAAACUGAGUCCAUCGCUUUUUUGUGACAUGAUCAAGAACUUGAGCGUGUCACAGAGAGAAUGGAUCUCACAGACUGGAUUUGGGAGUAUUUUGAAUUUUGACCUUAAAAGUUAUCCUAAAUAUCUAUCUUACAGUGUUGUCAAUAACUUUGAUUAUGACUCAUGCUGCAUCGUAAUAUGUGGUAGGUCCAUUGAGGUUUCUGAUGUUGAUGUUCAUGAUGUCCUUGGACUACCAUUAGGACCGCAAAAAAUACCUUUCGUUAAGAGUGAACCUUUAGCGAAGGAGUGGAGGAAGCAGUACGGUGAAAGCAAAAAUUCUUUCAGAGUAGCUGUAAAGGAUGUCAUCAGCGCUGUUAAUGAUUCAAUGCUGGCUGAUGUUAAUUUUAAACAAAACUUUAUAUCUCUUUUAAUAUGUUUUUUCUGCCAAGUUCCAUCGAAUUCGUACAUCAGGCAGAAUUUGUUAGGUUGUUGUUGUGACCUAGACCGUUGUUUUAAUUACAAUUGGUGUUAAUUUGUUUUAAGAUGUUUGAAAAAGUCUACAAAGUUCUGGCUGCAAAACAAGGAAACAAGAUACUAUACGGGCUCGUUACCGCUUCUACUGGUAUAUUAUUUAGAUUCUCUUAUUGGUAAACUAUUAUGACUAGUUUGACAGAAUUAUCAUGGUAACAUUUUUACUUUUUCUUUACAAUACAUGUUUCUUGAUACUUUCAUUGGGAAGAGAGCCUUCUCAGACAGGAAUCUUCCUAGGUUUACUCCUUGGAACAACUACUGUUUGAUUAAGCUGGAACAAGUGCUGAUACAGAGAUCAUUUCUAGUAAAUGGAGAAUUGCGAACACCAGACAUUGACUAUAUGACUCUGCAAGGUUGCAGAGUAAAGGUUGUUUUAAAGAAUAUUUGGUUGUUUGUAUAAACUAUUUGGGUUUCUAUAAGUAUAUAAGUUACUUAAUUAGUCACUUUAAACAAGCAAAUUCAUGUUUGUUGCAAUGUUUUUUUAGGGUAAGAUUGAUGAUGCUGAAGUUCAGACGGAUACCCACGCAACCCCUGUGGAAGAAAUGCAUCUGGUAAUUAUCCAUACAUUAAGCUAAUUACCAAACUAUAUGAAUGUUGUAAUUUAAAAACCAUUCUACUACUGAAAGACUGCCCUAUAAACUACACUCUGAUGAUUUAUUUCAAGGAGCGUGGCAAUUGGUGUUCGUUGGAGAGGGAUGAUGGAGAUCUUGACUGGGAUCUAUUACCGAAGGUUUUAAUUAGAAAAUUCCAUCAAUUAUGACAUAUUUUUUAAAAAUCAGUUUUUUUUGCAUCUUUUUUAUUAACUAAACCUUGAUAUUUGUUUUUGUUUGUAAAGUCUACAACCAAGGGCCAAGAGUGGCCCUGUAGAACCGCAUACAGGGCGAGCAGCUCAAGAACGUCCUAUCACCAGGUUAACAUCUAUUACAAUAUGUUCAUUUAUUUUUAUUUUAUAUUUGUCUUAAAAGAAUAGGAUACAAAAUAGUUGAUGUCUUAAGCUAUUAUCAAUCGUUGUUCAGGAAAAACAAGAAUGGUCUGAUAAUAAUCGUGAUGUCAAAGUUCAAGGAACUGAACCCAGUUCAAUUUUUGAACAGGUUACGUAUAGUUUUUUUUUAAAUAUUAAUUUUGUUCAUAAUUAUUUUUAUGUAUAUAAUGGUUAAUUUUUGUUGACACAGGUUAAGACUUCUGAGUGGAUCGGGUGCACGACUAUAGACGAAGACAAAUUUGUCAAUGUUUGUUAUUCUCACUGAUUGUUAAUCCUCAUACAAUCAUACUAGCAAAUAAAUAUACUUAUGUUCUCUAGUGAAAAAUUUUACUUAUUUCUCAAAUUAACAUAUUUACCCUUUUUAAAACAGGAAAAACAUAGAUUGAUGGAAUCUCUUUUGACUUCAUACCAGUCAGUUCAACAAACUUUCUUGCUACAUAUGUUGUAUGCAAAGGACAACGAGGUCCCUGAUGAGUAUACAAUCAACUAUUCGGUUAAGUUAUUUGACUUGAAAAUGAGUAAAACUAAUUGAGUUAUGGAAUCGUUUAAAGAAAACAAUUAAAUUAGAACUGUAAGGCAUGCUACUACAAUGUUAUUCAAAUGAAAAAAUGUAAAAAAGUUUACUUUCCAAUUAACAAACCCAGAUUCAUAUAAAAUAUUAAAGCAAAACAAAAAACAAUUUAUCAAGUUUAAAAACGAAUUUGAUCAAUUCUUUUCAGGACACGUCCUUGAAUCAUGAAAAGCAUAUUCCUUGCAUGUUGCACACUUCCUUUUCUUUCUUUUGUUACAGCCAAUAGACUAUUCUGCUCCAGAUACAAUUUUUUUUCUGCUGCCUUUGUUGUUGCUUUUGUUUGGAUUCUGUAUGGUCACCUCUUCAACAACACGAGAAUCUAUCAAUUCUUCAAUUUGUUCAGAAUUCAAUCGGGUCUUCGGCUUCUUCAUUAUCACUGUAAUGUGCUUCCGCAUACUACUCAGCGCACUUUUAAUAUACUCCAAUAUUUCCGGAUUUCCAGAUGCAUCACUGAGACAACCCUGAAAUUCGAACCAACAAUCUUGCGACUUAACGCGUCUAGAUAAUUGUAUUGUACCACUAUCAGCUAUUUCUCCAAGCUCUAGUGUACUGAAACGCUCUAUGGCGUUCUUCAGCCACCUGUUGCAUACAUACUGUCUUGGAAUUAAUUUUAUCCCGCAUAUGCCAAGGCUAAAAAAAGCAUGAGAGCAUAGGUAACCAGCUUUGGUGAAAAGUUUGCACGAACAUUCAAUAUUGUUUGUGUCCAUGUUUACUUCAACCUGUGAAAUGAUACAUUUUAGCAGGGGAAUUAUAGUAUCCUACCAAGUCUAAUAAUACAUCAUUGUAGUUUUUGCAAAAAACAAUAAAUAUAUUGAUUCUUACAAACCUUGAAAGUGAUACCCUUCUUGAAUGUGUCUUGAAUCAUUAUUGUUCUUGUAUUGUCCGCAAAACUCAUGCUUAAGACGACAACAUCCAUACUACCAGCUUUGAUCUCCUCCUGUACUUUAUAAAACAUAGCCCUGGUGUAAAGCCUCAAUGCAUCCUUCUCAAUUUCUUUGUCAGUGAUUAAUUUUGGUGUGAAAUCAUCAUAGUGGGUCAAUUUCUUCGAGUUGUUCCUUUGUUUGUCAAUUGCGCUUUGAUAACAGAGAUAAAACUCUGAAAGUGUGUCUCCUCUUUGAACAUAAUUUCCAAAAUAAAAAUUAGAACUCUCUUAUCUAGAUGUUGUUCGAAGAAGUCCCACCAUUGGCUCGUCAUUAAAGGAAGCUGGAAUCCAAAACUUUCUCAGUUCAAACAUUUCACUGAGCCACACAUUGUCACUUAAGUCAAAUUCUUCGACAGCAUCAGACCAUCCAUGUUCAAACUCUUCUGGAGUUAUAUGAUCUGACCAGAUAAACUGGUUAAGAUUCUCCAUGAAGCCUGACUCGGCGCAGAAAACAGUACCAAGCUACAUAUAUCACGGUUAGAACAAGAGUUAAAACAAGUAUAUCUUUUUAUUACACAAAAUAUAGCGUAUAAAAGAUAGAUAUAGAAUUGCGUGGUGAUUUUACUGUACAAAAAAACAAUAUCAAAUUUAAUUGUACACAUAUUGUUGUAAUUUUCUAAGGGAAAUUUACCUUUGAAGGAAAUUUUUUCAUUAUAUGCCACAUGCAAAGACGGUGCUUAACUAACGGAAAGCAAGUUUGGAGAGCAACCUUCAUUGCAAGGUCUUGAUCUGUGAUUAUACAUUUAGGAUUCUUGACAAAAACCUUCUUGAAAGAUUCACAAGCCCAUAUAUAGUUAUCGUUGUCUUCCUUCUCAAGCAAUAUUGCACCAAAAGUUACACUCUUCCAGUGGUUAUCUAUUCCUACUAGAGGAAUAAAAACCAUUCCAUACCUUUCAAAAAUAAAAAAGAUUAGUUGCCAUCUUGUAUACCGAACUAUAUAUCGUAAGACAUUAACCAGAAUACCUGUUCGUCCUAUACGUUGCAUCAAAUGAAACGGCAUCACCAAAAACUUCAUAAUUUUUUCUCCCAUCACCAUCUGCCCAGAAUAAUUGCGUUAGAUGAUUAUGUGAGUCAGUUCGGUAUUCAAAUCUAAAAUGGGGGUCUGAAGAAUCUUGUAUAUCCUUGAAUUUCUGAACAAUCAUAUCAGCGUCGUGCUUCCCAAUAUGUUGUUUAAUAUCCCUAGAAAAGUUUUUAAAAUCAACAACAGUAGCUCCUAUAUCUUCAUAUGAACCAAUCAUCGAUCUUAGAAUGGUAUGGGCUCGUGAAGCACCAAUGUUUGAUUUAGAAGCAUCGACAAUGAACCUCAUGUGGAACUCAGAUAGGGACCUGCUGCACCUCAAGAAUUGCAUUCCUCCCUUACCUGCAAAAGGAUAAUUGUGAACCUCUGUAAAUUUUUUCACAAAAAAACCUCCAGCGUCAUGAAUCCCAAGCACAAGUUUUGCAUGACAUUCGCACUUUGUUGAUAUAGUUCUCCUUUUUAUGUUCUCUUCAAGAUUUUUGUCUUCCGACCUACCUGAACUAGAACAUACGUAAUACUUUGUUAUAGUGUUACCAAACCUAUCACUCUUUUCCGUUGAACGACGAACAUCGAAUCCAGAUUGUCUGUCGUAUUCCUUAUAAAAAAAAUAUAGCCCUAAUCAAGAUCACUGAAACGUUGGCCCAAUUGAGGUCUGAAGCUGUCAGAACAUUCGGGGAUCCAGUCCUUUCCAAGGUUCUGUAGAUCAACACCAUUAAAAAGACUAGAACCCUCGUGUAAAUUGUUGCUUGAAGCAUCUACAAAACAAUAAUAAUAUAACAUGUAUAGUCCAUUGUAUGUUUCAACCAAAUCAGUAACUUGAUUGGUAGAAUGAAACAUACAUACCAGAAAUGGAUUGAUAAGAACGAUUGAUCUCCAUUGAGAGACUUGAGCAUGAACGUACAAAAAAUACAAAUACGAACAGGCAUAAAUCAGGGAUAUAGAUUGUAUUCAUAAUCUUUUUAUUAAAGGAAGGUUUGGUAAUGAAUCUGUGAUUGAUACAAUGAAACGUACGUAUUUAUAUUUUUAGGAUUUUAACCCUUCCGUCUACUGCCCUUAUACGACUUAAACAGUAUUUGUACUAAUCUAACGUAUAGUGAAUCUGGCCACAUAUUUAAAACUGAAAUGGUAGUCUUUACUUUUUCCCUUUCACUCGUAGUAUGGGGAAGAAGUGGACUCUAGAGGUACUACGAAUUGAUUGAGUAAUCAAACCAUAUCAAUUGUUUUCUAGAUCGUUCUGCAGCAUUUUUGAAUGAAAAAAAUAUAUUUUCAGUUAGAGCUUACUACGGUUGUGUAGGUGGUCUCUCGAGUCUCUCGCAUUGCCUCGGUCUCUUUUGAACCUCCCCCUAUAUAUAUAUAUAUAUAUAUAUAUAGGCUCCUACACCAAUACAAACUACUAAAAUACAAACCAACACGAUUAAGUAGAAUGGUAAGGAUUUUGGGACCGGAGAUGGACCCCGAGAUGAGCUUCAACGGGGUCUAAGUAGGGCCUAAUCGGGGCGGGGUGUAGUUGGAUCAUGGUGGGGCCAAGUUUUGGUUCUUAAGGCUGUCUGGAGCUUGUCCAGGGCUUGUGAGGAGCUUUGGCAAGGCCUUAGCGGGCCCAAGAUGAAUUGAGUGGGGGUAGGGGUGAGGGUGGGCUCUAGGUAGGUGAUUAUAGGGUGGGUGAUAACAUAUAGCAUAUAGGGGUGGGUGAUAGACAUUUAAGUAUAGUUUCUCUUGGUUUGUAUUUUAGUUUUUAUUUUAAGGGUUUGUAUUUGAAAAAUUGUGCAUGUGUGUGUGUGUGUAUAUAUAUAUAUAUAUAUAUAUUAUAACUUAACUAUAAUUUAUAAUAUUAAGUCAGUCCUUGACUUAUUAUAUAAAUGGACAUUUUCUGAUUUUUAUUUUGUUAUCUACAUAUUUUGUCAAUUAGAUAUAUCAUUGGAUAUAUAAAACAUAUUCGAGAUGCUGAAAAAACCCAUUAAUUAAAAUAUAAACUUCAAAGUAUACAUUAUAGACUACAUUUUGUUUGUUGCAGAGACUAAAAAUAUGGAAAAUGUUAGGAAAGAAUAAGAAUGAAUAAAUUAAUAUAAAUCAUCAAACAUUCAAUUGAUAUAUUAGAAAAUUUUAAUGAAAAUAUGGGUGAUUCAUUUAGUAAAACAUUAGAUUUUUUAACAUAAUUCUAUGAAUUUUGACUCUGUAAUUAAAAUUUAUAUCUUAAAAUUUUAUUGUUGUGAAAAAAAUUAUACCUGAUGAAAUUUUAUAAAUUUAAAAAAAAAUUACUAAUAUGUUUUUUAGACUUUGAGAUGCUGGAAACACCUAUUAUUUAAGACUUAACUUAAAAGUAUCAACUAAAAAUUAUUAAUUUUGAUAAAUAAAUUUUAAAUAUCAUUUAAAUAAUUUUAUUGAUGUAUAUUUACUUCGUUUCCACCCAUUUCUUAAUGUUAUUUAUUAAAGAUGAGUACAAAAUUUACAAAGCUAGAUCAAUAAAGAGAAGAAAAUGAAAAGGGAAAAUAGAUUUUUUUUGUCACCAAACUUAUUAUGUUUUUAGAAACUUGCCACUCAACUAAAUUUUUUUUCCUUUUGGUCACUGAUGUUAGGUUUGGAUUUGUUUUUAAUCACUAAUUUAGGUUUGGAUAUGAUUAUUAGCAUUGUGAUAAUUUUUUGUAGCAUCAUUAAUACAUAGUGAUAGCAUAUAAUUUUUUGAUAAUAUGAUGUAUGUUUAUAUCUUUGUAUAUAGCAAUAAUAAUAUAAAAUGAGGUGAUAUAAUAUUAAAAUCAGGAAAAAUCGUAAUUAGAAUUCUAGAAAUUCAUUAAAUCAUCAGUAUGGAAUCAAUGACUUUAAAUAAUUUAUGCUCUCCAUGAUAAAAUAAAGUCUAAUUGAGUGAUACGAUGCAUCAUCUUUCACUAUUAAAGUUUCAAUCACCUAGUUCAGCCUAAGAUCACUCUUAAAUUUAUCCUCAUAAUUUUUAAUAACUUUAUCUUAUUAUAAUUUUCAAGAUAAAGAUAAAUAAAUAGAGAGGAAAACUUAAUCUUCGAUGAUUUAUGAGAUUUUCUUUUUGCGUAUAAAAAUUCAAACACUAAAUUUUUAUUCGGAAGAAAAAAUAAAAUAAUUUAUGAGAGUGUACUAUUAAAAACCGUAAAAUGCAUGUUUAACUCUUAUCACCGAAGAUAAACGAUCUUGGGUACAUAAAAGUACUAUAUAUAAAGAUAGACAUAUAUCAAAUCAUCAAAAUAUUACAGGUUAUCACUAUAUUUUAACAAUACUACAAAGAAUUAAUAUAAUGGCAAUAAUCAAAUCCGGACCUAACUUUAAUGGCAAAAAAAAAUCCGAAUCUAACAUCAGUGACUAAAAGGAAAAAAAAAUUAGUUGAGUGGCAAAUUUCUAAAAACAUAAUAAGUUUGGUGACAAAAAAAUCUAUUUUCCCAAAUGAAAAUGGAUAAAAUGGUACUCCCUCGUCCCAAUCAAUUCUAUACAAUUUUCUUUUUGGGAUGUCCAAUCAUUUCUAUACAUUCCCAAAAUAGCAACUUUUUAUAAUAUAAAACACUACUACACCCACUACAUUCUCCCAAUAUCUCCAUUACAUAAUAAUAAAAACACUAUUACACCCACUACUUUACUCCACUAUAUCAAAUCUAUUAUUAAAAACGGUUUGUCUAGUGUGUGCCCAUGGGCACAUGCUAAGCGCGGAAACUUUUGGAUUUGGGAGAUUUUGAUUGGUGUGGUUGGUGUAUUUGCAGGGGGUCCACCAUUAUCAAAAGAGAGGAGCCAAUCAAAAUCUCCCAAGUACAAAAUUUUCCGUGCUUAGCAUGUGCCCAUGGGCACACCAUAGAAAAACCGUAUUAAAAAACAUGUGGGUCCCACCACUUUACUCACUUUCCAUCUAACUUUACUCAUUUCUCACAAUUUUUCUUGGUCUCCGUGUCUGAUCUCAAUGUAUAUAAUUCAUUGGGACGGAGGGAGUAUAAAUCAACGGUAUUUCAAUUGAAAAUUUAAAAGGCGAUGAGACGCCUAGGUCGAGAUCAACUUUUAUAAUAGUAGUAUAGUACUCGAUAUUAUUUGUUUCAUUUAAGAAGGUAUUGGACUUAUUCUUUUUGAUUCAUUUAAUAAGGUAUUUGAUUUUUCACUUGAAUUCUAUAAAUAAAACUAAUAUCUUUUACUUUUUCAUUAAAGAAAUAUACUUGCUAUACGUUUACUCAAAACUUUUAUAAAAUAUUACUUUACAUUAUCCAUUAAAAGUCACUAGCUACGCAAAAAUCAAAUUAUUUAUAAAAAGGAUUGAGAGAGUAUUUUUCUUUUACUACUUUUAGGAUAUUUUAAAAUAUAUAAAAUCGAGAGGAAUAUUAAAAAAUAAAAGAAAUUGUUUAAAGUUAUAAAAGUAGAAGGAUAAAAGACAAAUUUAUAAUACAUGUAAAAUGGUACCAAGUUAGUUGUGUGUAUUUUGAUCAAUCUAAUCAUUAUUUCAUUUGUCAAUUUAUUUCUUCUGUUCAAAAUUCACAUCCCCUUUGUAUACACUUACUCAUUAAUCACUAUACAGCAUUUCACAUGGGGUAGAAAAUAGAUUUUAGAUUGUAAAGCAUCAGUCCACACAAUUUCUUAAUUGCAAAAAUAUCUGAAAAAUCUCAUCAAACAGACCGAUGAGCUUUGUUACAGUGCUAGAAUUUGAACAAAAGAGUUUUGCUAAAACCUCCAAAAUGCAUCAAACACCACCAGAAUUUAACCUGAAUUAUUACUGUUCCUUGGAGAACCAUGGUUCUCAUCAACUGGACUCCGAUCCUCCCUGGGGCUAGGACUAGGCCCGUGGCCAUUUUCUUCCGAAGGACUCCUAUGCCUGGGGAUUUGUCUCUCUGCAUCCUCCAAAGGACUCCUGCUCCUUGCUUUGCUCCGCCUAUGAUAAUCUGACCCAUUUCCCUGCUUGCUAUUCCCAGGGGAAGGAGUGGCUCUACCUCGUGGGCUCUGCUCAUCAGGAGAUAGACUAUACUUCCUCCCUUUAGUUGGUGGUGGUGAAGAUCUGCGUCGCCUAGGACUCCUUGAUCUUCUCUCGGCACGUUCAACACUACGCUCCUUCAGGGGUGAUCUUGAACGGCUGGAGCCAUAAUAAUGAUAUUAGGACAAUGGAGGCAGUCCAGUCUAAUCACUAGACAAAUAAGCAUCAACUAUUAUAUGAAUAUACGCGUUACAAGUAAUUAACCUGUAGCUGCGAUCCCUGCUGUAACUAGGGCUUCGACUUCUGCCAUGGCCAGGAGAUGGUGUCCGAGAGUAACUUCGUGCACGUCUAAUAGCAAGAGUAAUUGGUUAACAUUGAGUUGAAAAGGAAGUACGACAAACUUUGAUACCAUAAUUGAGUUUGAAUAAAUUUAAGUAAUAAAGGAAGUACGAGAAACUUUGAAUACCAUACUUGAGUUUUUUGGGACUGUUCUGACAAUUCUUUUCAAUAUGACCACGGUCCCCACAGCGAUAACAUUUGUUCUUCCAGUCCCCAGCCUUGCAAUCACGAGCCCAAUGACCAUCAAUACCACAAUUAAAGCAUCGUCCGGAUCCAGGAGCAGGCCCUUUCCCAAGAAAUUCCCGAGAUCCCCCCGGGCCACGUGGUGCCUACAUUGCAUGUUAAAUACAUUUAGCAUAAUAAAGGGGACACUGAAGAACAAAAAAGGCAUAAUCAAAUACUCUAAUCAGAGACUAAUAACUCAUUAUCACCAGUUGUCAAUUUUGCACAAACAAAUUAUACUUGUAUGAAAAACAGCUUGAUAGCCUAAAUUUACUGUAAAAAAAGCCUAAAUUUACUGUAAUAAAACAGCGAAAUACAAUUAGAGCAUAUUGUAAUAAGCUUACCCCCUUAGCAAAUUCGACUACAAUACGACUCCCAUCAACAUCUCGACCAUUUAAGCUAUAUCUUGCAUCAUCAGCAUCCCGAGAAUCGCUAAAUUCCUAAAACCAUUAAGGUGAGGGGAAAGCUCAGCGUACUUCCCGUAUUAAUUGGAAGAAGCUAAUACAAUAUGCAAGAAAAGGAGAAUAAAUACAGGAAAGAAGUAUAAAAGGAAAAAAAACUGCAUACCACAAAGGCGAAGUCACGCUUCAUAUCCACAUCACGGACUCUGCGAAUGGUGCCAGAAACAACAAGACCGUCAUGAUGUAAGUACUAAAGGUUGGCACCUUGCCCCACAAAGAUGAACUAAACUCCACUUUGAAAUUGUUGCCAUUUCCAUGAAAAAAAUAUGCAAUAAUAAUAUAGAAAGAAUCUCCAAAGUUCCCUAUACACUCUGCAAGAAUUGCGACCAAUUCCAUCAUGGGCAACCUCUCACCACAAACCUCCAGGUGAAGCCCGGAAACCUUCAUGAAGAUCAUUCAAGUUAAGUAACUUAGAUGAGUGAGAGGUGAAACUCUUUGAAAAAAUUGUUUUGUGGAAAAAUGAGUGCCAAUGUCAAGCUUGGAUAUGUCUUGGCAAAGCCUUCAAUUUGGACUAUAUACCCCAUAGCAAAAUAACCCCGAAAUAUGACGACUGGCCACUAAUGGAAAGAUUACAUAAAUUAUUGUAAACCAUAUUCAAUAGAUCGACAAUUAUUACAAUCAACUAAGCAAAACCCCAAAAAGUAACAAGCACCAUCUUAUUUCCAAUAACAAUUAAAACACUAGCAGAAUUAAGUUUCAUACAGGAAUGUGGAUGCAAACAUGGAAUAUGUAUACAUAGAACGGUGAACCUUGUCAAACCAAAUUCUAACCUUCCAUAUCUGCUGAAAACAUCCUCCAAGUCACGGGACCUUGUUCGUGAAGACAGGUGGCCAACAUAGAGACGGGUCGUUCCAUGGCGAUCAUCAUAGCGUGGCAUUGUCCCUAAAACAAACACAGUAAUAGAUUUACACAUAAGCAAUUACGACAAUAUAAAAGCUUGAUAAUUAUACACACAGAAAACAUAAACAAAUUAUAAAAAUUCACCAGAUUCAUUAACUUGCAGUUUUGUCAAAACACUACUUGCUAAAAGGUAUAGCACACGCCUUUGUAAUUGUCCAACAUGAAAUAAUAAAACUAGUUAUUAAUAAGGUGAAAAAUAAGCAUCCUGAUUCAAACCUACACAUUUUCGAGAAAUAAAUAUUGAGAACUUGACGACUACUUAAAACAUCUACUAUCUAUUAUAUACUCCCUCCAUUCCAAAAUAACAGUCGCUUUGACUUUGUGCACGUAUUUUGAUGUGUAAAAAAAACAUACUUCCACACAUUAUUUUUGAAAUUUUCUUUUUGUGAAUAAAAAUUUAACAUCUCUAUUUUUAUUCAGAAAAAGAAAUUUUUAAAAAUAAUAUGUAAAAAUACGCUUUUUUUACACCUCAAAAUACGUGCACAAAGUCAAAGCGACUAUUAUUUUGGAAUGGAGAGAGUACUUUACACAUACAUACAUUACUUGAGUUAAAUCGAAAAGUCAGGUAGAUUUAUCGAAAAUGAAAACGACAUAGAAACAAUAACAUAGCGGCGUUAAGUUGCGGUGUAUGUAAUUAAUCAAGUUAAACAUAAAUGACUACUAGUCUAAGAAACACAGAUCUGAGUGAUUAUAAUUGCAGAGUAUAAAAAUUAUACAAGGAGCUAAAAUAGAAUAAUAUAUACAUGUG
RNAcentral lists this long non-coding RNA (26307 nucleotides) under Daucus carota (carrot). RNAcentral's name for it is "long non-coding RNA (DCAR_LNC000982)". The record is from RNAcentral. Lineage: Eukaryota; Viridiplantae; Streptophyta; Magnoliopsida; Apiales; Apiaceae.